Molecule: long non-coding RNA, 2301 nt
Organism: Lagopus muta (rock ptarmigan)
Lineage: Eukaryota; Metazoa; Chordata; Aves; Galliformes; Phasianidae
Exons: 2
Source: RefSeq, a predicted model, not a curated record
UGGUACAGAAUGUUUACAGAUGCCUUAGGAAGAAAACAGCAGAAUGUGGAACUAAUUGUGUUUAUUCAAGAUAAUUAUGAAACACAAAUGACCAUUACUUACAACAAGUCCCCUAACAGCCAGAGUUUGACUCCUGGGGCCAAGAUCAAACCCAGUAAAGAAAAGCCUUACUGUUAAGUUAUACUGUCCAUAUGGACACCACACAUCAACAUAAACUAUUGCAGCUACUGCUCUCCCCUCUCCCCUCUUGUCUUCAGCUGUACAGAAGAACUGCAGCUGCUAAGUUUGAAGAGGAAAGGCUGGUGGAAACAAUGAGUGGUUUGGAAGAAAAGAAAUAAUGGAAUAUUUUGGAAGUUAUGUUGGAAUUCUGUCAUAGGAAAACAAAGCAGCUUUGAUGCACCGGUGGUGGUGAUUUAAUUUCAUUACGGAAAGGGAAGCAUAAAGCAAUCUAAAGACAUGAUUAUUAAUUCCACUGUAAAGCACAAUGUGGUGCAUAUUAUAUAUGUGUUCAUCCUCAAAUGGUUUGUUAGGCUAUCUCUAUCUAAUUGUGUACUACAAGCAUGAACACCUCAUUCUCAAAUGAGACAAUAAGAGGAAUCUGGUGUAGUGCGGUGUUCAGAUUACAUGGAUGUAGACAGGGAAGAAAAACAGUGAAAAAUUUCAUAAUGAAAUAUUUCAAAUAAAUUAAACCCUAAAUGAAUAUACAUCAUCUGAUUUCCCAGCUUUGUUGGGAGCAUCAAACUGUAUAUUUUUUAAAUUGACCUAGGAGACUGAUCUAUCUAGAUUUAUUUAAUUGAUCUGUCUCAUGCAGAUAAGGAUAUUCAAAUGGGUCACUGUUGUCAUUAUAGCUUCACUUUGGUUACUUCAUUCUUCUUGUUGCUUUAGUUGGUUUGUUUCUGUGUUGGAGAUAUUUAGACUAUCAGCAAUUUCAUUAGCAUGUGGUUCUUAUACAGAAAGGUCAUUGUAUCCUUAAUAGUGUGAAAAGAAUGAUUCAGACUCUACUGUUUUUGUUGAUUUCAUUUUCUGGUGACACACAUGAAUUCAAAUUCAACAAUGUCCAAGUGAGAAAAACAGCAAGUUCUUUGUUGGCUUUGACUCCUUCUUGCCCACAUGGAUGAGAAUAUACUUUAAAUAUUGGCUCUUAAAUCACUACAGGUUUUGCUUCAACGUUCACUUACCAUACUGUGCAUGUAAUUUAUGUUCAGUACUAUAAAACAAAAUUCAAUGUAUAUUCCAUAGUUCCAGGGAAACAGGAUUUGUGUGGGAACAUUAAUACAGAAUUGUUAAUCAGGAUUGAAACCUACCAGCACAUGCACUGUGACUGAAAAAUGCAAAGGGUUUAAGGGAACCAGAGAUGGUCAGUACACAGGUCAGAUCUGAGAUGUCUGGAUAACUGUUAACUAAGCUCCACACUUUCAGAGUUUCAACUAAGCUCACAGUUUCCUGGGGAAGAAAAUCCCCACUUAGCUCUGCAUUUAAUAUGACUGGAAGAAAUUAGACUAAGACAUGAAAUUUAUUCUCUGAAAGUUUUACAGAUGGUUUAUCACACCCCCUGUGGUUGUACAAUUCUGGAGGGAAGUAAUAGUCACAGGAUUUGCAUUUCACUCCUAUCCAGUGAUGUGCUCCUAGUUGUCAUUUUUUUUCUUUGUACUUGUCCUUGUUUUCUUCUUAAAGGUGAUUGCAGGUUCUCAGUCUCUUGCAGGUACUCCUGGAUACUUGCUGAUACCAGACAGGAGUGACCCAACCUGGGAACAGGCACAAACACAGUUGUUUCUGAGCAGUUGUCUUGGUCCCUAUGCUGUUUGUGUCCAGGGAAGAGACCCUACAGUGUCUCCUCCACUUUCCCCAUGGCUUAUGGCAACAUCAGGCACAAAAUGAAGAGAGAAUGAGCAAAGCAGACUGUUAGAAGUGAGCUGAAAUAAUUUGUGGUGCUGGGUGGACUUUGAUGACUCCUUGUUGCUUGGAAGAGCCAGACCAGACUAAAGGAUCAGGACCAGUCCCUCCUGGCAACAGCCCUUUUCCCUGCCUGCUACAUGGACCAGGCCAUGUUAAGUUCACCAGUUUCCCAAACCAUAUUUACAGCCAGAAGGAAGACUUACGUCUGCCCUGGGGAGCCGUUGUUUCUUUCUACCAAUGCACUCAAGUGGUACAGGUUGAAAGCAUGUCUGAGGGACCGAGGGGGAAGAAGCAGAAGGAAAAUAGCAUCCCUCAUCUCACACCCAGGGUGAAGAGUUUAUGCUAGCGAGAGCUCUGUAAUCUCUUUUCCAGUGUGUCUGGACACAGAAAAGAGUGGAAAUUAAU